This 248-nucleotide unclassified non-coding RNA is filed under the name Polistes fuscatus (common paper wasp). RNAcentral's name for it is "ceramide glucosyltransferase, transcript variant X1". Lineage: Eukaryota; Metazoa; Arthropoda; Insecta; Hymenoptera; Vespidae. The record is from RNAcentral.
GUUAUUUAUUUUCUCUUCUAUAAUCUAUUAUAUAAAUGAUAAAUUUUGUUUAUUUACAUAUAUAAUACAUAUCGUGGAAUGACUUUUGCUCGCAAAACAUUUAACAUCAAUCUACUUGCAUCUUUCCUGACGAACAGACGUUAAUUACUCUACCUAAUAUAAAGAAGAAGAUUUUAUUCAAUUUAAUAAACCUGACACAUCUUGGUUUGAUCAUAACACAACUUUAAACAAUGUUAAAGAACCACAAA